UACAGAGGUGGCAAGCGUUGUUCGGAAUUACUGGGCGUAAAGGGCGCGUAGGCGGCCUUCUAAGUCAGACGUGAAAUCCCCCGGCUUAACCUGGGAACUGCGUCUGAUACUGGGAGGCUAGAGUAUGGGAGAGGGAUGUAGAAUUCCAGGUGUAGCGGUGAAAUGCGUAGAUAUCUGGAGGAACACCUGUGGUGUAGACAGCUUACUGGACCAUUUCUGACGCUGAGACACGAAAGCGUGGGUAGCAAACAGG
Molecule: ribosomal RNA, 253 nt
Filed under: uncultured bacterium
Lineage: Bacteria
Description: partial 16S ribosomal RNA
Rfam family: Bacterial small subunit ribosomal RNA
Source: RNAcentral